UACGGGGGGGGCAAGCGUUGUUCGGAAUUACUGGGCGUAAAGGGUUUGUAGGUGGCUUGUUAAGUCAGACGUGAAAUCCCUCAGCUUAACUGGGGAACUGCGUCUGAUACUGGCGAGCUUGAGUGCAGGAGAGGAACGCGGAAUUCCAGGUGUAGCGGUGAAGUGCGUAGAUAUCUGGAGGAACACCGGUGGCGAAGGCGGCGUUCUGGACUGCAACUGACACUGAGAAACGAAAGCCAGGGUAGCAAACGGG
RNAcentral lists this ribosomal RNA (253 nucleotides) under uncultured bacterium. RNAcentral's name for it is "partial 16S ribosomal RNA". It matches the Rfam family "Bacterial small subunit ribosomal RNA", at positions 524 to 776 of the family's 1533-position model. The record is from RNAcentral.